UCACCGUUUGCACGGGCAGUUUCGCUAGAGUCCCCGGCAUUAUCCGCUGGCAACUAGCAAUAGGGGUUGCGCUCGUUAUGGGACUUAACCCGACACCUCACGGCACGAGCUGACGACAACCAUGCAGCACCUUGCUGGAUGCCCCGAAGGGAGGACCGGUUUCCCGGCCUGUCAUCCAACAUUUAAGCCCUGGUAAGGUUCCUCGCGUAUCAUCGAAUUAAACCACAUGCUCCACCGCUUGUGCGGGCCCCCGUCAAUUCCUUUGAGUUUCAAUCUUGCGACCGUACUCCCCAGGUGGAUUACUUAAUGCUUUCGCUUAGUCGCUGACCGUAUAUCGCCAACAACGAGUAAUCAUCGUUUACAGCGUGGACUAC
RNAcentral lists this unclassified non-coding RNA (374 nucleotides) under uncultured Cryomorphaceae bacterium. RNAcentral's name for it is "contains 16S-23S intergenic spacer region". Lineage: Bacteria; Pseudomonadati; Bacteroidota; Flavobacteriia; Flavobacteriales; Cryomorphaceae. The record is from RNAcentral.